Molecule: unclassified non-coding RNA, 257 nt
Filed under: Halococcus sp. HSt 2.2
Lineage: Archaea; Methanobacteriati; Methanobacteriota; Halobacteria; Halobacteriales; Halococcaceae
Description: partial 16S-23S ribosomal RNA intergenic spacer
Source: RNAcentral
UGCAAGGAGGAUGUCUUGGGUUCGAAUCCCAGUGGGUCCAUCUGUCGACUCGUAUAAAUCGAAUCUCUUAAGUAGGGAUUGGUGAUAUAUUCGAGUCCGACCGAAUCGAUGCACCACUCCGUGCAAGCGUGAGUGGGAAGGGUUGAGACGUACCUCGUGACACUCGGGUGCGUCCAUGAGACUGUGUGUACGUGCGAUCCAGGCGUCCACUGGACCCGUUCAGCGGGUUCAUGGAUUCUGAUUAGAAGACCGUGGCU